AGAACGAACGCUGGCGGCAUGCCUAACACAUGCAAGUCGAACGCUCUUGGGGCUUCGGUUCCAAGGGAGUGGCGCACGGGUGAGUAGCGCGUGGGAACCUGCCCUGUUGUGGGGGAUAACCGAGGGAAACUUCGGCUAAUACCGCAUACGCCCCGGGACUUGGUCUUCGGAUUAGGUCUGGGGGGAAAGAUUGAUCGCAGCAGGAGGGGCCCGCGUCGGAUUAGCUGGUUGGUGGGGUAACGGCUCACCAAGGCGAUGAUCCGUAGCUGGUCUGAGAGGAUGAUCAGCCACACUGGGACUGAGACACGGCCCAGACUCCUACGGGAGGCAGCAGUGGGGGAAUAUUGGACAAUGGGGGCAACCCUGAUCCAGCAAUGCCGCGUGAGUGAUGAAGGCCUUAGGGUUGUAAAGCUCUUUCGCCCGCGACGAUGAUGACGGUAGCGGGAGAAGAAGCCCGGCUAACUUCGUGCCAGCAGCCGCGGU
This 483-nucleotide ribosomal RNA is filed under the name uncultured bacterium. RNAcentral's name for it is "SSU rRNA". It matches the Rfam family "Bacterial small subunit ribosomal RNA", at positions 26 to 521 of the family's 1533-position model. The record is from RNAcentral.